This 307-nucleotide ribosomal RNA is filed under the name uncultured bacterium. Its description in RNAcentral is "bacterial SSU rRNA". It matches the Rfam family "Bacterial small subunit ribosomal RNA", at positions 28 to 334 of the family's 1533-position model. The record is from RNAcentral.
GACGAACGCUGGCGGCGUGCUUAACACAUGCAAGUCGAACGGAGUUAAGGAGCUUGCUUCUUAACUUAGUGGCGAACGGGUGAGUAACGCGUGAGGAACCUGCCUCUCAGUGGGGGACAACAGUUGGAAACGACUGCUAAUACCGCAUAAAACUGUAGUACCGCAUGGUACAUCGGUCAAAGAUUUAUUGCUGAGAGAUGGCCUCGCGUCUGAUUAGCUAGUUGGUGGGGUAACGGCCCACCAAGGCGACGAUCAGUAGCCGGACUGAGAGGUUGACCGGCCACAUUGGGACUGAGAUACGGCCCAG